CCUACGGGAGGCUGCAGUGGGGAAUAUUGGACAAUGGGCGAAAGCCUGAUCCAGCCAUGCCGCGUGUGUGAAGAAGGCCUUCGGGUUGUAAAGCACUUUCAGUGGGGAAGAAAGCCUUGGGGCUAAUACCCUCGAGGAAGGACAUCACCCACAGAAGAAGCACCGGCUAACUCCGUGCCAGCAGCCGCGGUAAUACGGAGGGUGCGAGCGUUAAUCGGAAUUACUGGGCGUAAAGCGCGCGUAGGCGGUCUGAUAAGCCGGUUGUGAAAGCCCCGGGCUCAACCUGGGAACGGCAUCCGGAACUGUCAGGCUAGAGUGCAGGAGAGGAAGGUAGAAUUCCCGGUGUAGCGGUGAAAUGCGUAGAGAUCGGGAGGAAUACCAGUGGCGAAGGCGGCCUUCUGGACUGACACUGACGCUGAGGUGCGAAAGCGUGGGUAGCAAACAGGAUUAGAUACCCUUGUAGUCC
RNAcentral lists this ribosomal RNA (466 nucleotides) under Vreelandella stevensii. Its description in RNAcentral is "partial 16S ribosomal RNA". It matches the Rfam family "Bacterial small subunit ribosomal RNA", at positions 338 to 796 of the family's 1533-position model. The record is from RNAcentral. Lineage: Bacteria; Pseudomonadati; Pseudomonadota; Gammaproteobacteria; Oceanospirillales; Halomonadaceae.